Molecule: long non-coding RNA, 976 nt
Filed under: Homo sapiens (human)
Lineage: Eukaryota; Metazoa; Chordata; Mammalia; Primates; Hominidae
Description: HSALNT0334768
Source: RNAcentral
AAGUGUGGAAGAGGGGGUCUAGUGGUGAGGCCAUUAGCUGGCUCUCACUCUCUUCUGUUAGGGGAGAUAUGCAGGAACCCUUAACUCCAAGAGGCAGAAGAGCCUGGGUGGAGGUGAGAGGAAGGGGGAUCAGAGGGAGAGGAAGCAGGAAGGUUACUGCUAAGUUCUGACUCAAGGGAAGCAGUUUCAGGCAGAGUUAAGGAAGUCAAAGGUUUCUUUCUAGGUAGAGAAGCCCAGUUCAUCAGCCUAUGAAAGAACACUGGAAUUUAGAACACAAACUCUAGGGUGUAAUGAUUGUACACUGGUUAGUGUUACUUAGUACUGUAUUUCUAAGGAAACCAAGCUUGCUGAUGGGACAGAAGAGGGAGACAAUUUUCAAUGUCAUUUUCCUCUAACUGUAUGGUCUCUCUCACAGGUAUACAAGGACCCCAGAACCUUAACACAAUUCUGAGGUGGAAGAAAUGGGGAACACCAGGCCUGGCCUCAUGGAGACCGGGGAGUCAGAACCUGAGCUCUGGCUCCUGGAGCUGCUGCGAGUGAGUGGUGGAAACCUGCCCCCUUAGAGAAGCUGCAGCUGAUCAGCAUCAUGCAAGGGACUGCUGAGAUGGUAGCAUGCUGGUAAUGAAGUGUUAUGGAGCCACUCCAUCCUUUAUUCAUCCUUUUCCUCAUACACACAGAGAGCAAAGCACAGGAACCAGCUACAGAAUUUGCAAGUGGAGAAUCCAGUGGGUGGGCCUUCUCCAAUCAGGCCUUAAGAGCAAAGACCAUGGUUUCUCAAAGAAAGAAUUUUCCUCAAGACUGCAACAUAGAGACCUUGCCUGAGUUUCCAGCCUGAUACCCUGAAGAAUUUGGACUCAAGACUGCAAUAUCAGCUCUUUCCUGAAUUUCUAGCCUGCUGGCCUGCCCUACAGAUUUUAGAUCUCCCAGCCCAAUUGCAUGAGCUAAUUCCUUAAAAUAAAUAAAUCUCUGUGUGUGU